Molecule: ribosomal RNA, 254 nt
Filed under: uncultured bacterium
Lineage: Bacteria
Description: partial 16S ribosomal RNA
Rfam family: Bacterial small subunit ribosomal RNA
Source: RNAcentral
UACGAAGGGGGCUAGCGUUGCUCGGAAUCACUGGGCGUAAAGCGCACGUAGGCGGGUUGCCAAGUCGGGGGUGAAAUCCUGGAGCUCAACUCCAGAACUGCCUUCGAUACUGGCGAUCUUGGAGUCCGGGAGAGGUGAGUGGAACUGCGAGUGUAGAGGUGAAAUUCGUAGAUAUUCGCAAGAACACCAGUGGCGAAGGCGGCUCACUGGCUCGUUUCUGACGCUGAUGCGCGAAAGCCAGGGGAGCGAACGGG